GGGUCUACACCGCCACCUCCGAUACUGUGCACUAUCUGAGAUUACUUGGCGCUGACUACAGCAAAUACGACGUGAACAAAUUCAAAAAAGACGUUCCCGAAAACGAAGAAGAAUCUGAAAUCUCAAAAACAGAGCCCGAAGCUAUGGAAGUGACAGAAGCCAACGGAGCAGCAAACGGUUCAAAAGAAGAAGAAAGUAAGCAAUCAUAGACAAUAGGUGAGUGGGAAGAGAAUUGUCUAUGCUCUUCCUACUCGUGGCUGUUAAUUACAUAAGAGUAUGUAUAAUUAUAAUGUUCGAGUUAUAUUUAAUGUUUUAUACUAUAACACAAUAAUAUACUGUUUAAAAAUAA
Long non-coding RNA from Ostrinia nubilalis (European corn borer), 349 nucleotides. RefSeq lists it as uncharacterized. The record is from RefSeq and is a predicted model, not a curated record. The transcript is spliced from 2 exons. NCBI's taxonomy places the organism in Eukaryota, Metazoa, Arthropoda, Insecta, Lepidoptera, Crambidae.